This 584-nucleotide ribosomal RNA is filed under the name uncultured bacterium. RNAcentral's name for it is "partial 16S ribosomal RNA". It matches the Rfam family "Bacterial small subunit ribosomal RNA", at positions 355 to 934 of the family's 1533-position model. The record is from RNAcentral.
UGGGGAAUAUUGCACAAUGGGCGAAAGCCUGAUGCAGCAACGCCGCGUGGGUGAAGAAGGCCUUCGGGUUGUAAAGCCCUUUUGUUGGGAAAGAAAUCCAGCUGGUUAAUACCCGGUUGGGAUGACGGUACCCAAAGAAUAAGCACCGGCUAACUUCGUGCCAGCAGCCGCGGUAAUACGAAGGGUGCAAGCGUUACUCGGAAUUACUGGGCGUAAAGCGUGCGUAGGUGGUCGUUUAAGUCUGUUGUGAAAGCCCUGGGCUCAACCUGGGAACUGCAGUGGAAACUGGACGACUAGAGUGUGGUAGAGGGUAGCGGAAUUCCUGGUGUAGCAGUGAAAUGCGUAGAGAUCAGGAGGAACAUCCAUGGCGAAGGCAGCUACCUGGACCAACACUGACACUGAGGCACGAAAGCGUGGGGAGCAAACAGGAUUAGAUACCCUGGUAGUCCACGCCCUAAACGAUGCGAACUGGAUGUUGGGUGCAAUUUGGCACGCAGUAUCGAAGCUAACGCGUUAAGUUCGCCGCCUGGGGAGUACGGUCGCAAGACUGAAACUCAAAGGAAUUGACGGGGUCAUAACUGUUU